Molecule: long non-coding RNA, 5108 nt
Organism: Biomphalaria glabrata
Lineage: Eukaryota; Metazoa; Mollusca; Gastropoda; Planorbidae
Exons: 3
Source: RefSeq, a predicted model, not a curated record
UCUUUUUAGAGCUAUGGUUUAGAAGAUUUUAGUUUUGGUGAAAUAGAUCCAGACUUGGCAACUUAUUUCUACUUAAGGUGGUGCGCACAAUGUAGUUUAAAGACCAAAUUAAUUCAUUCUGCUUUUAAUUGUUAAGAAGUAUUCUACGUUGUUAUAUUUCUAGGUAAGUGCACACAAGCUUAUAGUCUCAAGUAAAGUUGUGAACAUUUUGAAUCAAUCAAUUUAAUCCAUUGAUUUUGGUUUAACAUUUUCCAUGACUUCAAGUAAUUUUAUAUAGUUAUGUUCUUAGCCUAUUCGGUGUAGAUGUAUUUCUAAAGUAGAUUUAUGUUCUAGUUCUAAAAUGAACACAUUCCAUUGGAAGUCAACUCAAGGUUGUGGACUUGAACUUAUUGCAUGGACUUGAAACUUUCAUGUUCAGAAACUCUUGCAUUGCCAUGGAAACUUUGUAUGUGUAUCUCUCUAUGUGUAACUUCCUGUAAUUAUGUCACUUAAUAGUAAUCUUUGACCAAAACUUUUAUCAAUGUCGCUACGUUCUUCUGCCAACUAUGUAAAUGCUGCUUUUUUUUCUACUUUACAUUAUGCUAAUAGAAAAUGUUCCUGACAGUGUCGGACUCCAAUUUUUAAGAUUCUAAUUUGGUCUAAAACUGUUUUCAUAAAAUAAAAUUGUCUAAAUAGUAAGAAAUUAAAUUGCUUAUUAUUUGAAAAAAAAUAAUAAAAUUAUUUGCUAACUAUUUUACAUCCUUUAUUUCUGUUUUGUUUUUUUUAAUCUGCAAUUUAAUGUUAUGAAUGUGAUUAAGUCCUCAUGGCGCAGUAUAUUGCAUGAAGGGCAUAGCAGCUUCAAAUUGUCUCCCUUGAAAAUAGAUCAUUUUGAUUGGAUGAAUCCUGUGGCGGGUACACCAACUAAAUUUAACUGCACUGAGCUGCAGUCCCUGUGCGCUCCACUUCCAAUGUGUGUGUGUGUGUGUGUUUACCACGCGCAAUGCAAAACAAGAUGAGUUGGUGAACGAAUGUGUGGUAUUCACUGAGCUCAAUUAAAGUUUUUGGUCACAUCACAAGUGAGGGGACACAACUUGGUCUACUUUAACUAGAAUUUUCCUGCUAGAUUAUAUUUUUUAUUUGAUCUAGACUUUGUAUUUUUAAACUAAAUUUUACAAAUAUAUAUAAUUUUCAUAAAUUAAAAAAAAAUUUAAUGUAAUACAUAUAACUUAUGAUAGUUGACAUUCGUUCAGGUCAUGUUUAAAUGUUGUUGUAAUCCUUAAAGAUCCAAGAUGAUUAAACGUAGUCCCAGUUUACUUACACAAUAGUUGCAAAUCAAACUCUAGACACAAAAAGUUGUCUCGUUAAUGAUGUCACUAGGUCUACACAAGUUUUUUAAUAACAUAAAGCUGAUUGAUUCAUUAAAACAUUGCUUAAUAUCUAAUUUAUUUAAAUUGCAUUAUAAUUUAUGAAGCUCUUUUCUGUUCAGCUAAUUAGAUUGUUUGUAUAAGCAUUUCAUUACAUUCAUCUUAGUCAGUACAUCUACACAGUUAAGCUCAAACUCUCUCUCCUUCUCUCUCUCUCCUUCUCUCUCUCUCCUUCUCUCUCUCUCUCUCUCUCCUUCUCUCUCUCUGUGUGUUUGUGUUUUAUAACAACUUUGUGUGUGAGUUAGUUUUGAAUUAUCCUAACCUUAUAUGCUGUUAUUACGAAUGGGUAUGAUUUCUUAAUUUGUAUUGUCUUAUAUUAUCUUGUAUAAUCCUGUAACUUUUCCAAUUUUGAAUAAAUUUAAAAUUGUUUCAUCUUAUUAAUUUUGUGGUUAGUUUGGUCCAAUUUGAAAUGUAGCGACCAUAUUAAAAGAUGUAUCUGUAAUUGUAAGCUCAAGAUGAAAAGAUAGCCGAGCCGAUGUUGGUCAUUGUGAAUUCGUUGCCAAGUUGAUUUGGGUCCCUUCAGACGUGCUCUCGGAUCAGUGCAGGACAGGUCAGGGGUCAUCUCACAGUCUGUUUCAACCUUUUGUUUGAAGACGCCCAUGCGAAGUGUGUUAAAAAGCUAGUGAAAACAAAUUUUAAUUCUUUCAAAAGAGAUGCCGAUACUGUGUGGAUACAUUACAUUCGUUGUACUUUCUCAAUCCUAUUAUUCUUCGACGUAAAUGUGAUUACACUUUUACUAUUUUUUUCAUUAUUACAUGUGUGGUAUUGUUGUUGGUUUUGGAAAGGGGAGGGGGGGGGUUACCGUUUAUAAAAUAAAAACAAUUGGACUGGAGAGUCUGCUUAUACAAAUAGUGUCACGUCACAUGCAGUAUAGGUUUUAAGUUAUCAACUUUCUGAAGUACAAAAAGAAAUCGCCAUGAUGAACAGAUUAUGUCUAGUCUCAAAUCUAAAGGUGAUCUCACUUUUGUGUUGUAAACUUUCUGUAGUCAAAACAUAUCUCCGUUCUACAACACUCAUAGAGCGAUUGUUUUUCUCUCCAUAACUAUUGAAUAGAAGAUUAAUAAACAAUGUCACGCAACCAAUGUUAGAUCUAGAUGUAGACCUAGUUCUUUAGCCAAAUUUUAUUUUAUUUCUUUUUUUAAUUUGAAAAAUGAUAACGUUCGAACUAGAGUUCUCCCAGUGUGGCCAACGAGCUAGUCAUUCUUUUUUCAGUGCUAUACAUCAACUGUUCAAUUUAUUUGAAAAAUUGUUAGAGCCGUUUUUGAUAGCCGUUCUUAGGUUCCUUCACCUAAGAAGAUGUUACUUGAAUAGAGGCAUUGUAAAAAAAAAUGCUAAGAUCAUGUCUAUUCUAAAGAUGAUUUCACUUUUAAGUUCACUGUAUACACUAAAAUAAAAGGCAAGCCAACAUUAUAAGUCAAUACAUAGAGACAGGGCCGGCCUUAGGCCACUGCAACCUAUGCGACCGCAGUGGGUCCCCGCACUUUCAUAGGCCCCGCGCUAACUCUAGUUGUAAAUUAUUAAAUUAAAACAUUAUAACUUAUAACACUAAUAACAGGUUUCCCGCAGCCUCUUGAUUCUCUAGGAGCUCCUGAAAAUCUCUAGGAAUUAUUAAAAUCUAUUGGAAACGCAUAAAAAUCUUCUGAAAAAUAGACAAAAUUGAUAUCUUUAAGGCAUAUUCUACCGCCAAAACCCCGGUAAAAAUUUUAGCUUAUCUGUCCACUAAUGAAAGAUGCACUACUUUUCCAAACUACUUUGUUGCAACUCAGACUAUUUUUAACAAUACCUGUAGCUGUGACAUCUGGUGAAAGAAGCUUCUCGCGCCUCCAACUUAAAGAAUUACUUGAGAUCAACAAUUCACGAAGAUAGAUUGAACAAUGUGGCAAAUCUUGCUAUUGAGCGUGAUCUAUGUAGGAAACAGAAUUUUGAUGAUAUACUGUAUGUAUUUAGUAAAGAAUGAAUCAAAUGUAAAGACGAAUUUAUUUUCUAGUACAAAAUCUUAAUUAUCACUUAUUAUCCUUAUCCCUACCCAGACUGGUCCUUACGUAAUCCGUUUCGCAUAAGGCCCCGCAAUUGUUAGGACCGGCCCUGCAUAGAGAUGAUGGGUUAAAUUUGGACAAGACGGUUUCGAAUCUCUUUGAACUAAAGUCUAGAAAUAAUCAAAAUAUUUACAAAUUCUUUAAAUAAAAACAUAGCUUAUUUAAGGAGGGGGACUCUGCACAUACAACUAUAUCACUCAAGUAUGAAGAAGUUAUUUCCCUUUUUGAUAUCAAACAAAAUAACUAAUUACCAAUAACCAAUCAACUAAUUGGUAAUUGUUUUAUUGACUCAUGUUUUGUUAGGUACAACAAAUAAUUGUUUCAAAUUGAUCGGAUAAUAUGUGUGGGAGAAAUAAUGUGUACAAUUAUUUAAGGGGACAAAACCCGACAUAUUUAACCAUAACUGUGAAUACUGAAGAAUUAAUUUCUCUUGUUGGUAUCAAACAAAAUAAUUAAUAACCGUAAUUAAAUACUAAUUGGUUACGUUUUUUAUUGAUUUAUGUAUUGUCUACGGCAAUGAAUAAUUGUGCAAACUUUUUACCAGACGGACAGAAAAACAGACCAAAGUGAGUAGAUAGAAGUUUUGUAAUAAUUUUUUAUUAGCUUAUAAAAAUUAAAGGCGCCUUUAGUCGAUUACCAGAGUGUAUUACUAGGUGUUAUAAGCUGCCUAAGGAUCAGGAUUACCAGAAGUGUAUUACUAGGUGCUAUAAGCUGCCUAAAGAUCACUGAAUCCUGAUUUUUCUAUAGGGUUGACACUAAAGGCAUUUAGAUUGGAUUCAAAACUUCAGUUUCACUAAUCCGCACUUCUUACUCAUAGUUCAAAUACAUUAUGACCACCGGUGUAUAUUUUGACAUUUUGUUUGACAAAACUUGGUAAUAAUUGGAUAGAAACUUAACAUAGUCUCAUGUUGUUACUUGAUAGGAAAAUAUUUCAAAACGACACAGGAAAAGUUUUGCAACAAAACUACAUCAGUGAAGUCAAUAGCGUUACAUCAGUCAGCAAAGUUACAUCAGUCAAGUCAGCAAGGUUACAUCAGUCAAGUCAGCAAGGUUACAUCAGUCAAGUCAGCAAGGUUACAUCAGUCAAGUCAAUAACGUUUCAUCAGUCAGGUCAAUGCAGACAUAUUGUCUUCAAUAGUUUCGUCAUGACUUUUCCAAAUGAAGGCUAGCACUGAAAGGUUCAAGAACUCAUUUGUUUCUGAAACACUGGAAUCUCUCCUCAACGUUGGACCGGAAAGGAAAAAAAUAUCUUUUGAAUUAUGUGUGUGUGUGUGUGUGUCUGUCUGUUAUGAGUGUUUUCCUUGUUGGAAUACUUUUCUUCAUUUCACUUCUAUUUAUAGCUUUUAUAGACAUUGCUUUGACAUGAUGUGCUAGCACUAUAACAUUCCAUCGUAUUUGAUCUCUACACUCAAUACUUACUGUUUCUCUCACCUUACAUCUCUAUUCUAUUCUGGUCAAUAGAUCAUUCAAUAGUCUACUGCAGCAGUUUGGUUUGCUUAGUAGUCUCUAACUCUGCUCGAGUAGUUACUUCAUAGAGUAUGUCUAUUUUAUUUAUUGCUCUCUCUCUCUCUCUCUCUCUCUCUCUCUAUCUAUCUAUCUUUCUCUUUAAUCUCUAUGUAAUCAAAACCUAGACAUGCCCAGUACUAAUCUGUUGAGGUCGUGUCCACCU